GCACUGGGAGGAGGAAGUAAAGAGAUGGUGAGAGAGAAGAACAAGUCUUCCAUUUUAGAACUUGGUCUCCCAAGAAGAGGAUGUUAUUUGGUCUUUGGAUUUAUGUACAAAGAAAAGUAUCGGCGAAUGACUGAAGUGUCUUCUCCAGAUACCGGCUUUCAGUUAAAUAAGGACCCAAGGAUGUGGACCUGGAAAUGCAAUUAGAACUAAAGUGGGCUCCAGAAGAUCUUUAUUGCUAGGCAACCUGGAUGUGCCUGAGCCCUUGACAGCUGAGGACUCUACAGUCUAUGGAACACUGCUCUCACCUUUAGUUCAGUGUCUUCAUUUCCUUCAAUAAAUUGCUAUUCAUCC
This 351-nucleotide long non-coding RNA is filed under the name Naja naja (Indian cobra). Its description in RNAcentral is "lncRNA (ENSNNAG00000008041.1)". Lineage: Eukaryota; Metazoa; Chordata; Lepidosauria; Squamata; Elapidae. The record is from RNAcentral.